Molecule: unclassified non-coding RNA, 337 nt
Filed under: Malassezia obtusa
Lineage: Eukaryota; Fungi; Basidiomycota; Malasseziomycetes; Malasseziales; Malasseziaceae
Source: RNAcentral
UUGACAUACGUCAAACCACUCUCUCUCUCUGUCCACCGGCCAAUGGAGGUGUGUACCAUGGUCCAUCUCCCACACAUACCCAAAGUCCCCCCCAAGUCCUCGAGUCGUGCGCACGCUCGGUCCACUUGGUUUCAAGACAUCUUGGACUCUUUUUUUAUGAUUCUCUAUUUCUCCCCCCCUAUUUUCUCUCCCCCUAUAUUGUUAUCCCUCCUUGCCCCUCUCUUGUCUUGCUCACCCCCUCGCCCCUCGAGAGAAGAAUUCCCCCGCACGGCCCAUCACCUCCACCCACGUCCCACCGUCCCACCCCCUUAUGACCAUGCGCCACGCACUCUCUCCC